RNAcentral lists this ribosomal RNA (301 nucleotides) under uncultured bacterium. Its description in RNAcentral is "partial 16S ribosomal RNA". It matches the Rfam family "Bacterial small subunit ribosomal RNA", at positions 509 to 807 of the family's 1533-position model. The record is from RNAcentral.
CAGUAGCCGCGGGAAAACGGAGGGUGCAAGCGUUAAUCGGAAUUACUGGGCGUAAAGCGCACGCAGGCGGUCUGACAAGUCAGAUGUGAAAUCCCCGGGCUUAACCUGGGAACUGCAUUUGAAACUGUCAGGCUGGAGUCUUGUAGAGGGGGGUAGAAUUCCAGGUGUAGCGGUGAAAUGCGUAGAGAUCUGGAGGAAUACCGGUGGCGAAGGCGGCCCCCUGGACAAAGACUGACGCUCAGGUGCGAAAGCGUGGGGAGCAAACAGGAUUAGAUACCCGGGUAGUCCCUGUCUCUUAUAC